This 211-nucleotide long non-coding RNA is filed under the name Elaeis guineensis (African oil palm). Its description in RNAcentral is "long non-coding RNA (EGUI_LNC038677)". The record is from RNAcentral. Lineage: Eukaryota; Viridiplantae; Streptophyta; Magnoliopsida; Arecales; Arecaceae.
UUCCCCCCAAAUACAUACAUGACAUAUGAGAAACAAUUUGAUCCCAUUAAUUCAUCAACAUGAGAAAAAGGUAAAAAAUAUACCUUUUUUCUUAAGUCAUAUUCACCUCAAUUAUCAAAUACCUUAGAACUAACAUCACAUCCUAUCUCUAGAAAUAGAAAAUCUCAUUGGGAAAAUAGGGAAAAACAUAAAAUAGGGGAAAAAAGAGGAG